GGGGAUGUGGCGAAAUUGGUAGCCGCACCAGGUUUAGGUCUUGGCGUUGAAAUAUACGUGUGGGUUCGAGUCCCUCCAUCCCUA
Molecule: transfer RNA, 84 nt
Filed under: Klebsiella phage JIPh_Kp127
Lineage: Duplodnaviria; Heunggongvirae; Uroviricota; Caudoviricetes; Demerecviridae
Also listed under: 1 other name
Description: tRNA-Leu
Rfam family: tRNA
About the family: Transfer RNA (tRNA) molecules are approximately 80 nucleotides in length. Their secondary structure includes four short double-helical elements and three loops (D, anti-codon, and T loops).
Source: RNAcentral